This 102-nucleotide non-coding RNA is filed under the name Neobacillus niacini. RNAcentral's name for it is "Bacillus niacini Guanine sequence". It matches the Rfam family "Purine riboswitch aptamer". Rfam says of the family: Riboswitches are metabolite binding domains within certain messenger RNAs that serve as precision sensors for their corresponding targets. Allosteric rearrangement of mRNA structure is mediated by ligand binding, and this results in modulation of gene expression. The record is from RNAcentral. Lineage: Bacteria; Bacillati; Bacillota; Bacilli; Caryophanales; Bacillaceae.
UUUCGAAUAAUAGAUUUCCUUCAUAUAUCCUCGAAAAUAAGGUUCGAGAGUCUCUACCGGGUUACCAUAAACAACCUGACUAUGAAGGCAGAAUUUUCGGCU